AAAAAGAAAAGAGUUAAGUAAGAGUUUAAAUAGAGAGGGAAAGAAAGAGUUAAAAAUAUUUAGGAUGGAGUAGGUAGAAGCCUAAAAGAAGUAAAUAGAGAGGGAAAGAAAGAGUUAAAAAUAUUUAGGAUGGAGUAGGUAGAAGCCUAAAAGAAGUAUAUUAAAUAGGUAUCAAUGCAUGCAGAAGUAAUAACAUUUAAACCAAGACACAUAACAGAGCAAACUUGUCAUAAGAUGCAAAACAAAGAGUAAAAACAAGAGAAGAAAAAAACAUUGACAAAUAGAAUAAUAUAAAAGAAGAUAAAAAAAAGAAGACAAUAACAAAAUAAAAUCAAGGAAAGGAGAAACUAGAGCAUACAAAUCCAACACUAUAGGGUCCUAAGCUAUUUCGAGCUUCUUACUCCAUCUGGUCUAUAGAGCCUCCAUCAACCUAGCCUCCUGCACAUUUUCAACAAUACCUUUUUGAAGGAAAAGUUCAAAAAGAACUCUUGCAAAAGGUAUGAUAGAAGAUACUUCAUCGUGGGAGGCAAUAAUAGUAUUCCUUAAGAAAUUGAAGAUUGUGAGGGGAAGGUUAUCCCUAAUCCUAGGUGAGAUGAAAAAGAUAAGAUGCUUGUCAAUAUAAGUGAGUGUUUCUAGCGUAUCUUCUCAUGACUGAAAGUUUGACACCAGCUGUUGAUGCCAGAUCUCUGCCUUGGGAUGAAAAAAGGAGACACUUGUGAGGUUGUCCUUGGUGGCAAGGAUCUUAUUUGGAAUUAUGUCAAUGAAUGGACUUGUCCUUGGGUACAUGUCCAUAUGAACCCUAACAUCCCCGCAUAAGAUUGUCUUAGCAAUCAGAGCAGGAGUUAGAGUGAUGGGAAUUUAAAAAAUAAUAGACUUAAUGGACAAAGUAUCUUGUUAAUAUGCAAGAGGGGCACAUUAGUCCAGAAUUUUCUAAUGAGAAUUGGAUAGAUGGGUUCUUUAAGAAUGUUAAAAUAAUUCUCCUACUUUAGGGAACAAAUAUGACUCAGAAGAUCAAGACCAUGAUCCCUAAAUUAGUUGAAGUCAACAAAAUUUUCAGAAGCAAUGGUGAGGGGCAGGUUACUCAACAAACAAAAGACAUGUUUGAGAUUUUAAAAAGAUGAAGGAAGAUGAAUCUUUUUAGAAAGUGAUUUUAGUAAGAGUGGGAUGAGAUGAAAAAGAAAAGAGUUAAGUAAGAGUUUAAAUAGAGAGGGAAAGAAAGAGUUAAAAAUAUUUAGGAUGGAGUAGGUAGAAGCCUAAAAGAAGUAUAUUAAAUAGGUAUCAAUGCAUGCAGAAGUAAUAACAUUUAAACCAAGACACAUAACAGAGCACCCUUGUCAUAAGAUGCAAAACAAAGAGUAAAAACAAGAGAAGAAAAAAACAUUGACAAAUAGAAUAAUAUAAAAGAAGAUAAAAAACAAGAAGAC
RNAcentral lists this long non-coding RNA (1424 nucleotides) under Lathyrus oleraceus (garden pea). RNAcentral describes it as "Pisum sativum (pea) long non-coding RNA (PSAT_LNC037984)". Lineage: Eukaryota; Viridiplantae; Streptophyta; Magnoliopsida; Fabales; Fabaceae. The record is from RNAcentral.